UUGCUUUUGGGAGAAAUAUCCCUGGUUUAAUUUAUUUUCUGGGUGUGCUACUGAACACCAAGUCUUUAUUUUUUUUGGAGCAGAAAAAAUGUACGCUCCUGCAUGUGUUAUGUCAAUAUUUAUUGCUGCAGAAGCCCUACCUCCCCAACCCACGCCAGCACUCCCACCCCAACCGCCAGCCCCACAACCACAGCCGGCUCCUCAUCAACCAAGGCAACGGAGGCGUGCUAGGCCACCAAUUUUCCGAACCC
Pseudophryne corroboree (corroboree frog) is the source of this 251-nucleotide long non-coding RNA. RefSeq lists it as uncharacterized. The transcript has 3 exons. The record is from RefSeq and is a predicted model, not a curated record. NCBI's taxonomy places the organism in Eukaryota, Metazoa, Chordata, Amphibia, Anura, Myobatrachidae.